RNAcentral lists this ribosomal RNA (870 nucleotides) under Isoannulus morrisianae. RNAcentral's name for it is "partial large subunit ribosomal RNA". It matches the Rfam family "Eukaryotic large subunit ribosomal RNA", at positions 366 to 944 of the family's 3401-position model. Lineage: Eukaryota; Metazoa; Arthropoda; Arachnida; Trombidiformes; Eriophyidae. The record is from RNAcentral.
AAAUAGAACUUUGCAGAGAGAGUUAACAGGGCGUGAAACCGUUAAUUGGCAAACGAAUCGGAGCCACGAAGUCGUUUCGCUGAUAAUUGGGGCUAGUUCAGCUUAGGAAUCAAAAAAUUCUCAGGUGUAUUCUAGUUCCAAUCUUCUUUGUAAGCGUACACUGCAACCAGUUAGACAAUUGGUGAUGGGAAUAGUUGCUCGUGUUAGUAGUAGCGUGGUAACUCUCGGGUUAUUCAUGUUGCUGGAUGCGUGGCAAGUGAACUAUUACCAAAGACUGACUGGCAAAAUGAUAAUCACUCUAUGAGUGUUUCUAUAGAAUGCGGUUUGUUGUAUAUCCAUCUACAUGCUUGACCAUUUGGUUUUAAGCUCAACAUUUUUGAAUUUGGACUUGCGGGCUAUCAAUGGGGCAACUCUUGAUGCUCGUAUAGCCUCCAUCUAAUCGGGUGUUGACUUGACUGAGUGUUGUUCAAGUAUGAGACGAUUGGGUGGAUAUAUAAAUGAAUUCGCCAUUUAUUGGCAGUGAGUAGGUCGGCUUUCCGAACGACCCGUCUUGAAACACGGACCAAGGAGUCUAAUUAGGUAUCGAGUCGAUCGGUCUUGAAUAGGCCAGAAUUAGAGGAAUAUUCCUCUUGAAGGCGUAGAGACAUGUGAUCAAGGGGAAAUACCAUCCCUUGUGCGCAACAUGUGCCUGUUCGUAUAACAAUGUGCAAGAUUGUUGGCGGAGUAAAGAGAUACCUGAUUGGUACCCGAAAGAUGGUGAGCUUGGGCAAAUUGAAGCCAGAGGAAACUCUGGUGGAGGAUUGUAGCGAUUCUGACGUGCAAAUCGAUCGUCAGACCUGAGUAUAGGGGCGAAAGACUAAUCGAACCAUC